UUGUGCAAAUAUUUUUUUUGAGCAUAGAUUUUUUACCAUUAUUUUAGCUGUUGUAAUAAUGGUUAACUGCUAUUUUAAAACCUGUUAUCAAAGAAUACCCAUAAUCAAUUGAUGUUUAAUUUUUUUGAGUGACAUUAUACAUAUUUUCCUUCACAUACAUUCCUCCUGUGGGAAAUUCUUAGAUGAAUCUUAUUAUUUAUUUUAAAAUUACAUUAUUUUUUUGUAUAGUAAAUAAGCGCGGCUCUGCAAUUAACAUUUAAUUUCUCAUCUUCCGUUUGUCACUUGGUCUUUCCUUUUCAACCCACGUCAAGGCACCUAGCAGUCCAUACUCCAUAGCCUCGAAUCAAAGCCACCUUUUCAUAUCCCAUAAAUUUUUCUUUAUUUUCAGUUUAAGAAACGGGUCAUUUAUCUUUUCGUUCAUUAAGCAGAUAUUAAUAAUUAUUAAUGUGUAUUUAUAAUUUUGGGCGACCAAAUCACCAGCCCUUACACCUGUUAAUUUUAUUUUUUUUUCUCUCCUGUCAUAAAUCUAAAUAAUCUCCAUAGUCACAGAAGAGUUUCCCAAUGAUCCAAGUAGCUCAGGCUCUGCAUCAUUUUCUACCUACAGAAACAGAAAACAAAUAAUAUAAUAAAUAUUAAAAAUAAAUUAUUUAAAAUGAAAAACGAAGACUCACCUUGACGGAACGGAACCAAGCACGGAAUACGUAGCAGAGAUACACAACGCAUAAAUCACGUACGCAUAUACAAAUGGAGUGAACGCAAAUCGUCAAAUCAGACUGCCAACGGAGAAAAGCGCACUGGAAACAGAGAAGAAUUGUGGAAAGAAUAAAGAACUGGAAUGGUCCCUGAACGAUGAUGGAAUUAUGAUUCAUGUUUAAUUAAAUUCACUGUUCGAUUUAAAUUUUAAUUAGCUUAGAUCUGUUUCAGGUGAUGAGAUAUUUAAGUCGUGUAAGGUCCUGAAAUUGGCCAUUCAUGGCCGCAGCUCUUUUCAUAUACCGUCGUAGGUAUGUACACUUACAACAAAAAUUAUAUAUCAAAGCCCCUGCUAUCGGAUCCAAUAAAAUAAGUCCGUCGCAAUUCUCAUGCGCUGCCACUCGCCGGAUCUGAGCCUCUCCGUCGCCGGAAAAUUAUGACAAUUAAUCGAAUAAUAAGUUUGUUGACUAACAUACCCCGAUUAACGCAAAUCUUCGGCUUUGCACAUGACAGAGAGCCGGCUCGGACGUGGUUGGAAAGCUGCGCGCCGCCGUUGUUGGUGAGAAGACGGCCGAAUCAAAGCCGAUAAAGCUCUCUUGACCAAAUCACCCUCCACUCCACAGAUUCGCACCAAGGAGUUCGUCAUCGCCGAUCUGCGCGCAUUUAAGCGAGUAUUUGGCGAGUAACUGACGGAUGAGUGUGAAUUGUUGAAGCUCUUGUGGAGGCUGCAGCGAAAGGAACCAGGGUGCGUCGUAGGAGAGCACAUACAAGUCCUCUUCGGAGUGCUCGGCUUCCUGACUACUUGGUGGCCGCGAGAAGGAUUGAUAGUGGAGAUGGAGCGAUUAGGGGAGAUCGGACGGUCGAGGGAGAAACGGACAGAAGGAGCAGACCGCGUAUUUCCGUACAAGUUAACACGAGUGGGAGAUGCAGAUCUGUGGCAUUGGUGGUGGCCGGAAAAUAAAGUAGAAGAGCGAGAAGCAAAGCUGGAGCUGGAAGAAGCGAAAGCAGUUGAAGAAGAUGGCGAGUGAGGAAGGUGGAAUCUGCCGGACGGAGAGAGUGAUCGGAUGACUGGUCCGCUUGAGGAUCUUCUAGAAGAUCCGGUUGCUGUUGCCGCCAUUUUUUUGCCACUGGUUUUGAGGUCGCAGGAAAGUGGGGGAGCACACAGAUUCUAGAGAAAGAAAAUGAGAGACUAACCUUUGAAAAUGAGCUUUUGGC
Molecule: unclassified non-coding RNA, 1905 nt
Filed under: Hevea brasiliensis (rubber tree)
Lineage: Eukaryota; Viridiplantae; Streptophyta; Magnoliopsida; Malpighiales; Euphorbiaceae
Source: RNAcentral